Molecule: long non-coding RNA, 1062 nt
Organism: Tupaia belangeri chinensis (Chinese tree shrew)
Lineage: Eukaryota; Metazoa; Chordata; Mammalia; Scandentia; Tupaiidae
Exons: 3
Source: RefSeq, a predicted model, not a curated record
GUAUGGCUGAGGUGGUCGUGGCUGCUGUUUGAUCGCGCUAAGACUAACGUGCCACGAGGCGUGGGUGGGGCCAAGAGCAGACACGAAGCAGCUCCCGAAGGGUGCCCAACCCGUAGCUAGACACCCCGGACCAGGGACCAGAAGAACUGUGGCGAGGACUCGGAGGACUCGGUAUAGGUGUUGCGGAGUUGCUGCCAGUUGUUGGGUCGACUUUUGUGCGGUCCUGGAGCCGCGCUGCCGAGAGGGUCCUAGAUCAGAAAGAACACAGAUUGUUUCAGAACAAUCUUCUGAAAUGGUCACAUGCAUGGGUGACCAUGGCAUGGACCCCAAAAAGGCCCCAGCAGUGAAGAAGGAGCCUGUAAAGAAAACCUUGGUAGGACAUCUGAACCCUGAAGCUACUGAGAGAAAGCCAACUUGGUGAGUUUGGGGAGUUUCCUCAAAAUGUGCAGAAGCACUUUAUGAGAUUUCCGAUGACAGAAACAGAAGGAGAAAACCUCUCUAGACAUGUGCCCGCCAGAUGGCCAUCACUGCUGCCAGCCAUAGAAAAGAUGCUAAAAUGUUGGCCCGCCGCAAAACCAUAUUUUCAAAGUGUGGGAGAAGAAGAAUGUCUUCCUUUGAUUGGGAAACAUAUUGAGAGUGAGAAUGGAGAAAAGGAUUACAGUAAAAUAGAUAUUUAUAUGCUGUUUCUCUAAAACUGUUUGAUGAUAUUUGAAGAGACUGGAGGGAGCUUACAGAAGGAUGGACUGACUGCCUCUGAGUUGUUUGAUGUUAGAUAUGAGUUGAGACAAAACUUCAUACAAUGGAAAGGUGAUUCAUUUUUUGGAAAUAAGACUUUUGGAACUAAACAAAAUGUCACUAGAAAAGGGUAGCCACAUGAACAUUUAACAGGACUUCCUUAAUUUCCUUUCAAAAACUAUAAUCUGGACCCAGCAGAUGAUGUAACAGUUAUGUUGCUGGACUCCCAUGUAGUUGACCGUGGUUCAAGACAUGGGCCCAGCUGCUUACAACUCGUGCCGGGCACAUGUGUGUGUGUGUGUGUGUGUGUGUGUGUGCCCGCCCAAA